Acipenser ruthenus (sterlet) is the source of this 518-nucleotide long non-coding RNA. RefSeq lists it as uncharacterized. The record is from RefSeq and is a predicted model, not a curated record. Lineage: Eukaryota; Metazoa; Chordata; Actinopteri; Acipenseriformes; Acipenseridae. The transcript has 4 exons.
GUGCUCCUGACCUACUUUCUCUUUCUAGCUGUGAGAACUCUGCAGAUGAGUACUUGACCAUCUUUCACCCAGUCUCCAGCAAUGCAAGAGUGCUGUUCCCUUCCCAUCUGAAAAGGUUUGAAGUGAAAAUGUUUUCCUUCACAAGCGGCCAGGAUGCACUGAAAGGACAGAUUUACUUCCACUGCAGUGUUGUGAUAUGCGAUUCAAACCGGCCAUCAGACAGCCUCUGUAGCAGACGGUGCAUUCCAGGAAAACAGAGGCUUGGUCGCAGUGCUGAAGGGAUGGAUGGUGGUGCAGUAAAGGCGUUUGUGUCUUCUGGCCCAAUUGAGCUGAAGAGAGAUGGAUCCCUUCACUUUAUGCCUAGAAGUGCCCAAUUCAAUGUGUGGUCCGUUCUGGGAGCUGCAAUGGGUGUGUGUUCAGUGGUUGUCAUUGUAGCUGGAGUUGUAUAUAUUUGGAAAAUGCCCAAAAGUGUGUGUUGAUAAAUAAAAAUCUUGCUUGUAAAGGCUGUUUGGAUUGUG